UGUCCGUUCCGUAAAUAAUGAGUUCUGGCAAAUCUCGAGACGUUUCUUAUCGAGUGUGGGACCCCACUCGAUUAGCCCAGUCCCGUGGCACAAUCCAAUCCAUUCAAUAACCGGCUUAUCAUGCUGGAUCUUCAGCUAAAGAAUUAACCAUCACCACGAAUGGGACAGUUUCUAUAAAUGAUUCGAGCGACUUUCGGAUUUAUGACUGGACUAAAUUUAGAGAAUAUUGUAGAGUAUUCCCGGCGAUGGCAAUCUAAUCAGGCGACACGCCCACUUCAGAAGUGCCAGUGAUUCCUCCCCUGAUGGAUGGAUGGAUGUGAUUGUGAAUGCGAAUCUGUUACACUAACAAGCCUUAUCAUCUGACAAAUGGCAAACAGUCGAGCGAUCUCCCGCCAGUCCGCUUGACGUCAGUGCACUGCGGGAGAGGAGGAGCGGCAUGCGGGAGGGUAUUCUGCCAUAUGGCUCACCCUUUUCCGUUUCGAGCUCAGUUUUAGUCUAAUUAAAAUGCAUUCCGUUCUUACAAGCCACAUAAACAUCAGUCGAGCUGUCUAUCAGUCAGAUGCGUGUCGUUACGUAUACGCCAGGUGUAACCAAACAAAAACGCUCUAAACAGGGCUAAUUGUGUUCCGUGCAAGGGUGUAGCUGUCACCCGUUUUGGCCAGAAUACGAUUUCGGCUCCUUUGGCCUGCGGUUUUUUCCGCUGUUAAUCAUGAUGUCCCCGCACGGACAUUGUUUGAGGUGUGUUGGCGCCAACAACCUUUUAAUACGGUCGGCAAAUGUGUGUCUAUGAUUUGCAUCUGAUUCGACCCUAUCUGGGAGGGUAUAUCUACGUAGGUAUGCAGCUUGCAUCCAGCUUUUUCCCAAGAUAUACCAGCACUAAUGGUUAUACAACUAUCCCUCCCAUAUAACACCGAAUAUGCUAUUGUUUACUGAUUGUCCACUUGAUCCGCAUCUGUUCUAUUCAUCACCCAAUAAAAACCAAUUGAAAAGAGUAUCCGCAGUUCGCUCGCUCGCCCGCCGAUUGUGGCGCAUUCAAAUUAGAAAAUAUAUUGAAAUUUAUAUUUGUGCUGUCUAAGCGUUUGGGCAAACGUCUCAUUACAGCGAGGAAUUGUGUGAAUUUCUAAGGCAUAUUUGAGUUACCAUCUGGAGACAUAAUUGAAUUGCGCCCAAUCAGCUUCAAUUGUCCGCAUUGUGGAUCGAUCGAAUGGCAAUUAUCAUGGCAUCAGCACUGGAAACUUUAUCGAACUCUGGGAAUCGUUGUGGGUGUGUACAGGGCUGUGGGCGUGGCAUUUUAUUAACACCCCCGAUAUGAUUCUGGGGUCUGUGUCUGUUUCUGUCUCUGGGUCAGGCACUUGGCAAACAGUCAAAGAGGAAGAUGCGACACUAAAAAUGUAUAUUUUCCGCGUAUAAUUCUGUUUUAAUUGCGGCCACUAAGAAUAGAACGUCUUCAUUUGGACAAGGUGCGAUCAUCGCUCAGGAAGAGCCAUUUCCGCCGGAGGUUAUCCCCAGGCCUGCACCCGUAUCCCGUCGAAAAAGAUUGCCUUGAGUCACUCGACAAAUCUGCGUCCGCUGGUCGCACUGCGACUGCAGAAUCUUAUCUAGUGAAAGAUUUGGUAUAUCAUAAAAAAAGAGGCGUUCUGAUUUAUCAUCCCCCAACUGUGACAUCAUUUUGCCGGACAAGAGAUGGAUUCCGAAGUGUUUUCUAGGAAGAUCCAAAGAUCAUAUUCGCAAUACAUACCUACAUAGUUUGACGGAGGAGUGUCGUGAAACACGGGGCGGACGAGCAGACGAGGUGAAUAUAAAUAUCAUUUGUGGAAAAACAACAAACAGCAUUGAGUAUUUGCGUUAACAGUGCGAAAUGAUUAACGCGAUAACCUCCGCUGGGGCACACAGGCCCCAACCACAAGUGGCAAAGAGAGAAGAAUAGAGAGCACAAAUCGAUGGGAGGGGGGAGUGAGAGAAAGGGGGGAGCUACAGAGAGAGAGAGAGAGAAAACAACAAUGUUCGAGGCGGCGCCGCACUGUGUUAAUUUUUGUUGCCAUUUUGCAGCUUGACUUUUUGCACACAGGCAGGCCCCAAUCCAACACACACAUACAGUUAUGUGCUCUCCGACAGAGCUCCCACUCUCUCUCUCCCUCUCUCUUUGUGUCUCUCUUGAUCUUUGAUCACGUUUCCCGCACACGACGGCACCCGAGUCGGGCACUCGGCGCAA
This is a long non-coding RNA of Drosophila pseudoobscura, 2212 nucleotides long. RefSeq lists it as uncharacterized. The transcript has 3 exons. NCBI's taxonomy places the organism in Eukaryota, Metazoa, Arthropoda, Insecta, Diptera, Drosophilidae. The record is from RefSeq and is a predicted model, not a curated record.